Molecule: ribosomal RNA, 453 nt
Filed under: uncultured bacterium
Lineage: Bacteria
Description: bacterial SSU rRNA
Rfam family: Bacterial small subunit ribosomal RNA
Source: RNAcentral
AGCGAACGCUGGCGGCAGGCUUAACACAUGCAAGUCGAACGCACCUUUCGGGGUGAGUGGCAGACGGGUGAGUAACACGUGGGAACGUACCUUCCGGUUCGGAAUAACCCAGGGAAACUUGGGCUAAUACCGGAUACGCCCUUUACGGGGAAAGAUUCAUUGCCGGAAGAUCGGCCCGCGUCUGAUUAGCUAGUUGGUGGGGUAAUGGCCCACCAAGGCGACGAUCAGUAGCUGGUCUGAGAGGAUGAUCAGCCACACUGGGACUGAGACACGGCCCAGACUCCUACGGGAGGCAGCAGUGGGGAAUAUUGGACAAUGGGCGCAAGCCUGAUCCAGCCAUGCCGCGUGAGUGAUGAAGGCCCUAGGGUUGUAAAGCUCUUUCGCACGCGACGAUAAUGACGGUAGCGUGAGAAGAAGCCCCGGCUAACUUCGUGCCAGCAGCCGCCGUAACAC